Molecule: ribosomal RNA, 494 nt
Filed under: uncultured bacterium
Lineage: Bacteria
Description: partial 16S ribosomal RNA
Rfam family: Bacterial small subunit ribosomal RNA
Source: RNAcentral
GACGAACGCUGGCGGCGUGCUUAACACAUGCAAGUCGAACGGUGAAGUGCCUUCCUUUCUGGUGGGUGUGGAUGAGCGGCGAACGGGUGAGUACCACGUGAGUAACCUGAUCCCUCCUUCUGGAUAUCCGCAUGCCAGUGUUGAUAAUACGGGAUAUACUGAGUCUCUUGGAUGAUGGGUCUGGGACAGUUUUUGUUUCGGUGGGGGAUGGGCUCGCGGCCUAUCAGCUUGUUGGUGGGGUGAUGGCCUACCAAGGCGGUGACGGGUAGCCGGCCUGAGAGGGUGGGCGGUCAUACUAGGGCUAGGCCGCGGCCCAGACUCCUAGGGGAGGCAGCAGUGAGGAAUAUGGCACGAGGGGCGGAAGCCUGGUGCAGCGACGCCGCGUGGGGGAUGGAGGCCUGCGGGUUGUGAGCCUCUUUCGGCAGAGAAGCAGGCCUGACUUGUUUGUGGGUGGGUUGACGGUAGCUAGAUAAGAAGCGCCGGCUAACUACGUG